UACGGGGGGUGCAAGCGUUAAUCGGAAUCACUGGGCGUAAAGGGUGCGUAGGCGGUACGUUAGGUCUGUCGUGAAAUCCCCGGGCUCAACCUGGGAAUGGCGGUAGAAACCGGCGAACUAGAGUAUGGGAGAGGGUGGUGGAAUUCCAGGUGUAGCGGGUGAAAUGCGUAGAGAUCUGGAGGAACAUCAGUGGCGAAGGCGGCCACCUGGCCCAAUACCUGACGCUGAGGCACGAAAGCGUGGGGAGCAAACAGGAUUAGAUACCCGUGGUAGUCCACGCCCUAAACGAUGAAUACUGGAGGUUGGGUGCAACUUGGCACGCAGGUCUCGAAGCUAACGCGUUAAGUUCGCCGCCUGGGGAUACGGUCGCAAGACUGAAAC
RNAcentral lists this ribosomal RNA (381 nucleotides) under uncultured bacterium. RNAcentral describes it as "bacterial SSU rRNA". It matches the Rfam family "Bacterial small subunit ribosomal RNA", at positions 524 to 900 of the family's 1533-position model. The record is from RNAcentral.